RNAcentral lists this ribosomal RNA (250 nucleotides) under uncultured bacterium. RNAcentral's name for it is "partial 16S ribosomal RNA". It matches the Rfam family "Bacterial small subunit ribosomal RNA", at positions 524 to 773 of the family's 1533-position model. The record is from RNAcentral.
UACGAAGGGAGCUAGCGUUGUUCGGAAUUAUUGGGCGUAAAGGGCGCGUAGGCGGCCUUUCAAGUUAGAAGUGAAAUGCCAAGGCUUAACCUUGGAACUGCUUUUAAGACUGAGAGGCUAGAGUUCGGUAGAGGAUAGUGGAAUUCCCAGUGUAGAGGUGAAAUUCGUAGAUAUUGGGAGGAACACCAGUGGCGAAAGCGACUAUCUGGACCGUUACUGACGCUGAGGCGCGAAAGCGUGGGGAGCAAAC